Molecule: unclassified non-coding RNA, 255 nt
Filed under: Ascomycota sp.
Lineage: Eukaryota; Fungi; Ascomycota
Description: partial contains small subunit ribosomal RNA, internal transcribed spacer 1, and 5.8S ribosomal RNA
Rfam family: Eukaryotic small subunit ribosomal RNA (bases 1-47)
Source: RNAcentral
AAAGUCGUAACAAGGUUUCCGUAGGUGAACCUGCGGAAGGAUCAUUACAGAGUGUGAUGCCAUAUGGAACUCAGUUUCGUGUGGUUGACCCUCCACCCGUGUCGAUUAUCUCAUGUUGCUUUGGCGGACUCGGCUUGCCCGCGCCCACUUUGGUGGGGGAAUGUCCGCCAGGGAAGACCAAAACUCUUGUUAUCAGUGAUGUCUGAGGAUGAUAUAUAAUCAUGAAAACUUUCAACAACGGAUCUCUUGGCUCUG